Phoenix dactylifera (date palm) is the source of this 289-nucleotide non-coding RNA. NCBI's taxonomy places the organism in Eukaryota, Viridiplantae, Streptophyta, Magnoliopsida, Arecales, Arecaceae. The record is from RefSeq and is a predicted model, not a curated record.
UUUUCUAAAAAAAUUUGGUCUGGGAGACGACGGCAGUGGGAGGAGAAGGCUCUGGAGAGAGCGGGGCGGACAGCGAUUCCCUUCGCCAUUGAGAUCUAGGGUCAGGGUUUCUGGCUUCUCGGAUCGAUCGGUUCUGGUCCGAGGUGAUUUUGUGGGAGGAUCCGGUGAAGUCUGGAGCUCCGAGGUUUUGAGGAGCUUGGAAGGUUUAUGUAAAUAUGAGGCUGGAUUCGACGGUAUUUUAUAGCUUUGGUCCGGGAUAAAGUAUCUGGAGGGAUGUCAGAUCAUGAGG